This 773-nucleotide ribosomal RNA is filed under the name uncultured bacterium. RNAcentral's name for it is "bacterial SSU rRNA". It matches the Rfam family "Bacterial small subunit ribosomal RNA", at positions 8 to 798 of the family's 1533-position model. The record is from RNAcentral.
AGAGUUUGAUCAUGGCUCAGGACGAACGCUGGCGGCGUGCUUAACACAUGCAAGUCGAACGGAAAGGCCCUUCGGGGUACUCGAGUGGCGAACGGGUGAGUAACACGUGGGUGAUCUGCCCUGCACUUUGGGAUAAGCCUGGGAAACUGGGUCUAAUACCGAAUAGGACCGCGCUCUUCAUGGGGUGUGGUGGAAAGCUUUUGCGGUGUGGGAUGGGCCCGCGGCCUAUCAGCUUGUUGGUGGGGUAAUGGCCUACCAAGGCGACGACGGGUAGCCGGCCUGAGAGGGUGACCGGCCACACUGGGACUGAGAUACGGCCCAGACUCCUACGGGAGGCAGCAGUGGGGAAUAUUGCACAAUGGGCGCAAGCCUGAUGCAGCGACGCCGCGUGAGGGAUGACGGCCUUCGGGUUGUAAACCUCUUUCAAUAGGGACGAAGCGCAAGUGACGGUACCUAUAGAAGAAGGACCGGCCAACUACGUGCCAGCAGCCGCGGUAAUACGUAGGGUCCGAGCGUUGUCCGGAAUUACUGGGCGUAAAGAGCUCGUAGGUGGUUUGUCGCGUUGUUCGUGAAAACUCACAGCUUAACUGUGGGCGUGCGGGCGAUACGGGCAGACUAGAGUACUGCAGGGGAGACUGGAAUUCCUGGUGUAGCGGUGGAAUGCGCAGAUAUCAGGAGGAACACCGGUGGCGAAGGCGGGUCUCUGGGCAGUAACUGACGCUGAGGAGCGAAAGCGUGGGUAGCGAACAGGAUUAGAUACCCCGGUAGUCCAA